This 215-nucleotide unclassified non-coding RNA is filed under the name Hevea brasiliensis (rubber tree). Lineage: Eukaryota; Viridiplantae; Streptophyta; Magnoliopsida; Malpighiales; Euphorbiaceae. The record is from RNAcentral.
GGAAGAAUCUGGCAAGGAUGAUGAAAGCGGUAGGAAUAAUACCCUUGAGAAGCCAAGUAUCUUUUUUGCAUUUGUAUUGUUCCCUACAACACUAUCAAUUNNNNNUAUCUGCUUUUCUCUGGAAACAGGCUUACCGGUCCCUUGGACUGGCAUGCCACAUCACCCGACCAUGCUUUUGUGGAUAUGCCCUGGGGAUUAAUGUUCUUUCUUCGCCA